UCUCCUACAGGCAGUUUGAAGGCCUCAUGCGCUUCUACAAGCCCCGGAUGAGUGCCAGGGAGCGCUAUCUUACCUUCAAGGCCCUGAAUCAGAACAACACACCCCUGCUCAGCCUAAAGGACUUUUACGAUAUCUACGAAGUUGCUGCUUUGAAGUGGAAGGCCAAGAAAAACAGAGAGCACUGGUUUGAUGAGCUUCCCAGGACGGCGCUCCUCAUCUUCAAAGGCAUUAAUAUCCUUGUGAAGUCCAAGGCCUUCCAGUAUUUCAUGUGUAAGUGUGAAAUAUCUCCACUCUAGGCCACUUUCCCCCUGAGUCCUUUGCUGUUCUAGAAGCGGGAGAGGCAAGAGAUUGGUCCUAGAGUCCUGUGUUUGACUUUUUAUUGUGGGGAA
RNAcentral lists this small RNA (389 nucleotides) under Pongo abelii (Sumatran orangutan). RNAcentral's name for it is "retained intron". The record is from RNAcentral. Lineage: Eukaryota; Metazoa; Chordata; Mammalia; Primates; Hominidae.